Molecule: ribosomal RNA, 228 nt
Filed under: uncultured bacterium
Lineage: Bacteria
Description: partial 16S ribosomal RNA
Rfam family: Bacterial small subunit ribosomal RNA
Source: RNAcentral
UGAGCAACCUGCCCUUGACCCUGGAAUAACAGCUGGAAACAGCUGCUAAUACCGGAUACGACCUCCGAUGGCAUCAUCUGGAGGUGGAAAGCUCCGACGGUCAAGGAUGGGCUCGCGGCCUAUCAGCUUGUUGGUGAGGUAAUGGCUUACCAAGGCGACGACGGGUAGCCGGCCUGAGAGGGUGACCGGCCACACUGGGACUGAGACACGGCCCAGACUCCUAGGAGG